UAAAUUGUCAAAUUUUCAUCCCAAUGAUGGGAGUGAAGGAAUGCUUGCUUUGCCUUAUGAUUCUGGGGUGGUUGAUGUGCAUGAUGCAAGAUUGCUUUAUGAAAAUGUGUUAAACAUGCUCAUUAAGUGGUCGACAGCUUUCAUUUUGAUUGUGGUCAUCAUUCUGUUGGGCUUUAUCUAUCUAGUGGGUAAAGAAAAGAUUGCUUCAGAGAAGCUGUCCAGUAGUAGCAG
This 231-nucleotide unclassified non-coding RNA is filed under the name Hevea brasiliensis (rubber tree). Lineage: Eukaryota; Viridiplantae; Streptophyta; Magnoliopsida; Malpighiales; Euphorbiaceae. The record is from RNAcentral.